GUUUUUGUAGUUGAACUACAACGGUGGUUUUUCAUAUCACAGGUCAUGGUUUAAGUCCAUGCAAGAAUU
This 69-nucleotide transfer RNA is filed under the name Ochotona thibetana (Moupin pika). RNAcentral's name for it is "tRNA-Glu". It matches the Rfam family "tRNA". From Rfam's summary of the family: Transfer RNA (tRNA) molecules are approximately 80 nucleotides in length. The record is from RNAcentral. Lineage: Eukaryota; Metazoa; Chordata; Mammalia; Lagomorpha; Ochotonidae.